This 306-nucleotide ribosomal RNA is filed under the name Phacellaria rigidula. RNAcentral describes it as "eukaryotic LSU rRNA". The stretch from base 1 to 72 matches the Rfam family "5.8S ribosomal RNA", at positions 85 to 154 of the family's 154-position model. The record is from RNAcentral. Lineage: Eukaryota; Viridiplantae; Streptophyta; Magnoliopsida; Santalales; Amphorogynaceae.
UGAACCAUCGAGUUUUUGAACGCAAGUUGCGCCCGAGGCCAUUCGGCUGAGGGCACGCCUGCCUGGGCGUCAGUUGCCCACUAACGCUCCUUGCCCAUCUUUUACGUGGCGGGAUGCGGAGCAUGGCCAUCCUUGCCCUCGGGCUCGGCGGGCCGAAGCAUGUGGCUUGCCGAUUGGGGCCGGCAGUGGCGAGUGGUGGAUUGCUCACGCGAGCCGUACGUCGCCCGUCGUGCCCCCGAGCGGGAAGCCUCGUGUCACCCCGGACGCACGGAUGCCGAACGGCAUCCUCGGACCAAGACCCCAGGU